AGUAAUCAACGCUGGCGGCGUGCCUAACACAUGCAAGUCGAACGAGAAAGUGGAGCAAUCCAUGAGUAAAGUGGCGCACGGGUGAGUAACACGUGACUAACCUACCUUUUAGUGGGGGAUAACCUAGGGAAACCUGGGCUAAUACCGCAUAAUACCUACGGGUCAAAGCAGCAAUGCGCUGAAAGAGGGGGUCGCGGUCGAUUAGUUAGUUGGCAGGGUAAUGGCCUACCAAGACUGUGAUCGAUAUCCGGCCUGAGAGGGCGCACGGACACACUGGAACUGAAACACGGUCCAGACUCCUACGGGAGGCAGCAGUGGGGAAUUUUGCGCAAUGGGGGAAACCCUGACGCAGCAACGCCGCGUGGAGGAUGAAGUCCCUUGGGACGUAAACUCCUUUCGAUCGGGACGAUAAUGACGGUACCGGAAGAAGAAGCCCCGGCUAACUUCGCGCCAGCAGCCGC
This 461-nucleotide ribosomal RNA is filed under the name uncultured bacterium. Its description in RNAcentral is "SSU rRNA". It matches the Rfam family "Bacterial small subunit ribosomal RNA", at positions 32 to 518 of the family's 1533-position model. The record is from RNAcentral.